UGCAUCUGGGGCCUGCGAGGAUGAGAACCUCCGGGGGCAGGAGGUUCGACUCGAGCGAAGCGAGAGAACGUUGCGUCAGCAACGGCCCGCAGGGCGAGCCACGA
Molecule: small RNA, 104 nt
Filed under: Klebsiella pneumoniae
Lineage: Bacteria; Pseudomonadati; Pseudomonadota; Gammaproteobacteria; Enterobacterales; Enterobacteriaceae
Also listed under: 1 other name
Description: partial RtT sRNA
Rfam family: RtT RNA
About the family: This family represents a bacterial cis-regulatory element known as RtT RNA.
Source: RNAcentral